Molecule: ribosomal RNA, 401 nt
Filed under: uncultured bacterium
Lineage: Bacteria
Description: bacterial SSU rRNA
Rfam family: Bacterial small subunit ribosomal RNA
Source: RNAcentral
CUAAGCUUGACAUCCUUUUGACCGAUGCCUAAUCGCAUCUUUCCCUUCGGGGACAGAAGUGACAGGUGGUGCAUGGUUGUCGUCAGCUCGUGUCGUGAGAUGUUGGGUUAAGUCCCGCAACGAGCGCAACCCUUGCCUUUAGUUGCCAGCAUUAAGUUGGGCACUCUAGAGGGACUGCCAGGGAUAACCUGGAGGAAGGUGGGGAUGACGUCAAAUCAUCAUGCCCCUUAUGCUUAGGGCUACACACGUGCUACAAUGGGUGGUACAGAGGGCAGCCAAGUCGUGAGGCGGAGCUAAUCCCUUAAAGCCAUUCUCAGUUCGGAUUGUAGGCUGAAACUCGCCUACAUGAAGCUGGAGUUACUAGUAAUCGCAGAUCAGAAUGUCGCGGUGAAUGCGUUCCC